GACGAACGCUGGCGGCGUGCUUAACACAUGCAAGUCGAACGGGAUAAUUUGAGAGCUUGCUCUUAGAGAAUCUAGUGGCAAACGGGUGAGUAACACGUAGACAACCUGCCGACAGGAUGGGGACAACAUUCCGAAAGGAAUGCUAAUACCGAAUGAAGCGGAGGAGAGGCAUCUCUCCUCCGUGAAAGAUGGCCUCUGAAUAUGCUAUCACCUGUCGAUGGGUCUGCGUCUGAUUAGCUAGUUGGUGAGGUAACGGCUCACCAAGGCGACGAUCAGUAGCCGGUCUGAGAGGAUGAACGGCCACAUUGGGACUGAGACACGGCCCAGACUCCUACGGGAGGCAGCAGUGGGGAAUCUUCCGCAAUGGGCGCAAGCCUGACGGAGCUACGCCGCGUGAGUGAAGAAGGUCUUCGGAUCGUAAAGCUCUGUUGACGGGGACGAACGUGCGAAGGGUGAAUAAUCCUUUGUAAUGACGGUACCUGUCGAGGAAGCCACGGCUAACUACGUG
This 508-nucleotide ribosomal RNA is filed under the name uncultured bacterium. RNAcentral describes it as "partial 16S ribosomal RNA". It matches the Rfam family "Bacterial small subunit ribosomal RNA", at positions 28 to 507 of the family's 1533-position model. The record is from RNAcentral.